UUGUCUGAACUAUUAGCCCGCCAGCUUUUACCAUACAAUCUGGUGGAGUCUGAGGCAUUCAAAAAAUUUGUAGCUAUUGGGACACCGCAGUGGAAGGUACCCGGCCAAAAUUUCUUUGCGCAAAAGGCAAUCCCCAACCUGUACUCGACUGUGCAAAAGGAAGUAAUGGCAUGUCUGGCACACAGUGUUGGGGCAAGGGUCCAUCUGACCACUGAUACCUGGUCUGCAAAGCAGUGGGUACUUUAUAAAUGGC
Non-coding RNA from Pelobates cultripes (western spadefoot toad), 253 nucleotides. NCBI's taxonomy places the organism in Eukaryota, Metazoa, Chordata, Amphibia, Anura, Pelobatidae. The record is from the annotation of a GenBank genome assembly.